This 253-nucleotide ribosomal RNA is filed under the name uncultured bacterium. RNAcentral's name for it is "partial 16S ribosomal RNA". It matches the Rfam family "Bacterial small subunit ribosomal RNA", at positions 524 to 776 of the family's 1533-position model. The record is from RNAcentral.
UACGUAGGGUGCAGGCGUUAAUCGGAAUUACUGGGCGUAAAGCGUGCGCAGGCGGUCUUUUAAGUCAGAUGUGAAAUCCCCGGGCUUAACCUGGGAACUGCGUUUGAAACUGGAAGGCUUGAGUGUGGCAGAGGGGGGUGGAAUUCCACGUGUAGCAGUGAAAUGCGUAGAGAUGCGGAGGAACACCGAUGGCGAAGGCAGCCCCCUGGGCUAACACUGACGCUCAUGCGCGAAAGCGUGGGGAGCAAACAGG